This 422-nucleotide ribosomal RNA is filed under the name uncultured prokaryote. Its description in RNAcentral is "bacterial SSU rRNA". It matches the Rfam family "Bacterial small subunit ribosomal RNA", at positions 355 to 774 of the family's 1533-position model. The record is from RNAcentral.
UGAGGAAUAUUGGACAAUGGGUGCAAGCCUGAUCCAGCCAUCCCGCGUGAAGGAUUAAGGUCCUAUGGAUUGUAAACUUCUUUUGUACAGGGAUAAACCUACCCACGUGUGGGUAGCUGAAGGUACUGUACGAAUAAGCACCGGCUAACUCCGUGCCAGCAGCCGCGGUAAUACGGCGGGUGCACGCGUUAUCCGGAUUUAUUGGGUUUAAAGGGUCCGUAGGCGGAUCUGUAAGUCAGUGGUGAAAUCUCGCAGCUUAACUGUGAAACUGCCAUUGAUACUGCAGGGCUUGAGUAAAUUUGAAGUGGCUGGAAUAAGUAGGGUAGCGGUGAAAUGCAUAGAUAUUACGUAGAACACCAAUUGCGAAGGCAGGUCACUAAGAUUUAACUGACGCUGAGGGACGAAAGCGUGGGGAGCGAACA